GACUAUACAUAUAUAUCCAUGGGAUGAAUGAAAUAGCAGAUGUACUUGUGUUAUGCACUGAAGACUUGUGGCAUGGGACAGACCUUCCAAUGGCAGCACCAGCAACAGAUUCAAAAGCCCGGAAUGAACGUGGUGUGCUCUGAGAAACAGAUGACUCAGGGAGGUAUCAAAAGUGUCUCUAAAGAUACUGAAUAAAACUGUUUUAUAAAAUUGUUUCAGCAGGACGGCUCCAACCUUCAUCCCAGAAAUCCUACUGAGUUUACUGGAAAUAACAGGAUUCAGAUUACUCAAAUGGUUGAGAGCAUCUGCUUUCCUGCAAGACGCACAGCAGGAUGAAGCAAAAGACAUCACUCAAGAUCUGGCACGUUGACCAACAGUCAGACGGAGAUCUGGCAAGGACUGAAGAAUCACCUGACCUUGUGACUUUUUACAAGAUUCUGAGGGAUUAUCACAGGGAGCAUGAUCCCUCCAGGAACUAUAGAGAAGAAAUCUUUUACUGAGAUGGAUGGAUUUUGGGGUGUGGGCAUAUACACUUCAAUAUGAUGUCUGUGGAUAUACCCCUAAAUAUGAUGUCUAUUUCACCUUAGGGAAAAAAGAAGAGUCUGCUUUAGAUUUCUUCAAGAAGAGAAUUCAUUAGAGAAUUCUUAAAAGGAACCUGAGCCACCCUGGAAGUCCUGAGGUGAGACACACCUCCAUCUUACUGGAGACAACUGGGAGAGGCACGUCAGCCCGAUCAGGCAAACUCACACUUGGUCCCUGAGGGAGAUGUGGAACUCAUCAGCCAUUACUCCUGGACUUCAUUUUCAGAUCCCCUUCCUACAGGUUGCAGCUGUGUCUCUCAGGACCUGGAAACUGUCUUCUUCAGAGAGCAUCAUGAGGUAGAUUUCACACAAGUGAGUCAGUGUGGUGUGGUGGAAAACCACAAGACAUAAAGCCAGGAGACCAGCGAAUAAUAGUUCCACCACAUACCAUCUGACCUAAGUCAAGCCAUUCACCCUCUCAGGUCCAACCCCCUUUCCUAUAAAGCCCCAUAACAAUGGUGUCCAUCCUCCCUAUUUGGGGGUUGCUCAUUGUUUCUUCAUUCAACAAACACAGACUAAGCAUCAACAAUGAAAAAUCACACACAGGCCAAGCCCUCCUGAGCUUGACAGAAUAGCAUGCAACAAACUCUCUGAAAAACUAAUUACAAGUGUUCUGUUGUUUCAAAAUAAAGAACAAGAUGCACUGGGAGAUUGUGAACAGAUUCCUAGACUGGGGUUCAAAAUAACCUCCUAGGGGAGUCACACAUAAGGGGAUGGUACUCUAAGAAUCCAUUCAUUUAACCAAAACUUCCGUCUAGCCUAUUAUGGGCCAGGAAGUGGGCAUGUGGCUGGGGAUUUAGGAGUGAACAGGACAGAUGUGGCCACGCCCUAAUGGAGCAUACAAUACAGUGGAGGAGAAAGGUCAUCACAAAUUACACAAAUAAUGAAUUAAUUACUAUUGUGAAAAACACUGUGAAAGGAAAGAACUGAGAUAAAGUAUAUAAAAGUGCUUCAUGAAUUAGCACAUCCUUUAUAAAUGUUCCUCUCUGUUAAGAAGG
This is a long non-coding RNA of Mustela erminea (ermine), 1579 nucleotides long. RefSeq lists it as uncharacterized. The record is from RefSeq and is a predicted model, not a curated record. The transcript has 3 exons. Lineage: Eukaryota; Metazoa; Chordata; Mammalia; Carnivora; Mustelidae.